AGAGUUUGAUUAUGGCUCAGGAUGAACGCUGGCGGCGUGCUUAACACAUGCAAGUUGCGCGGUGAUCUCAAGAAGUUUCGGACGGAAAGGGAGAGCAGCAGCGGACGGGUGAGUAAAGCACAAGGACUUGUCCCGAAGAGGGGGACAACUGUGGGAAACCACAGCUAAUACCCCAUAAGCCGAGAGGUGAAAGCAGCGAUGCGCUUUAGGAGAGACUUGUGUCCUAUCAGGUAGUUGGUGAGGUAACGGCUCACCAAGCCGAAGACGGGUAGCCGGACUGAGAGGUUGUACGGCCACAUUGGAACUGAGAGACGGUCCAGACUCCUACGGGAGGCAGCAGGUGGGGAAUAUUGGGCAAUGGGGGCAAACCCCCUGACCCAGCGACGCCGCGUGAGGGAAGACAGCCUUCGGGUUGUAAACCUCUGUUGCAGGGGAAGAAGAAAGUGACGGUACCCUGCGAGGAAGCUCCGGCAAACUACGUGCCAGCCGCCGC
Molecule: ribosomal RNA, 493 nt
Filed under: uncultured bacterium
Lineage: Bacteria
Description: bacterial SSU rRNA
Rfam family: Bacterial small subunit ribosomal RNA
Source: RNAcentral